CCGCACUAGAUGGGGAGCUGGCGGUGCCCUGUACCCGCAAACCGCUAUAGCGGGGUUGAAGCACCACCCCCGGGUUUAGCUUGUGGGGUCCGGCCCCUGUAAGGGGUGUUGACGACCGGGUCUUGCGCGACGGAGACUCCUGAACCGUGUCAGGUCCUGACGGAAGCAGCACUAAGGGAUGCACUGCGGGUGCCGUAAGGGUGCCUGGUCCGAGCUGCCUGCAGAGGUAACGCCCGGAAGCUAUUAUUCAAAGGUGGGUGUGCGG
Non-coding RNA from Peptococcaceae bacterium BRH_c4a, 265 nucleotides. Lineage: Bacteria; Bacillati; Bacillota; Clostridia; Eubacteriales; Peptococcaceae. The record is from Rfam.